This 60-nucleotide microRNA precursor is filed under the name Alligator mississippiensis (American alligator). RNAcentral describes it as "Ami-Mir-1788_pre stem-loop". It matches the Rfam family "mir-1788 microRNA precursor family", at positions 11 to 69 of the family's 77-position model. Lineage: Eukaryota; Metazoa; Chordata; Crocodylia; Alligatoridae. The record is from RNAcentral.
GGCUUGUUUUCAGUUGCCUGCGGGUUUAUUUGGACGACUCAGGCAGCUAAAGCAAGUCUG